GCUACUGGGAGGGUAGCCUGGUUGAAGCCUGGUUGUUGGAGGGGGAGACCGACUGUCUCCCCUUUAACUACACUGCUCUGCUGCUGGAGACUGACUGUCUCCCCUUUAGAUACACCGCUCUGCUGCUGGAGACCGACUGUCUCCCCUUUUGUUGCACAGCUCUGCUGCCGGAGGGGGAGACCGACUGUCUCCCCUUUGGAUACUCUAAGCUGUCGCUGGGGAGAGGGGGUAACAGGCUCCUCUCCCGAUAGAACACUCUGCCG
Non-coding RNA from Pelobates cultripes (western spadefoot toad), 263 nucleotides. NCBI's taxonomy places the organism in Eukaryota, Metazoa, Chordata, Amphibia, Anura, Pelobatidae. The record is from the annotation of a GenBank genome assembly.